GGAUCUUUAGCUCAGUGGUAGAGCGCUGCUCCGACACGGCGGAGGCCCUGGUUCAAUCCCAGGAAGAUCCA
Molecule: transfer RNA, 71 nt
Filed under: Pseudenhygromyxa salsuginis
Lineage: Bacteria; Pseudomonadati; Myxococcota; Nannocystales; Nannocystaceae
Also listed under: 1 other name
Description: tRNA-Val
Rfam family: tRNA
About the family: Transfer RNA (tRNA) molecules are approximately 80 nucleotides in length. Their secondary structure includes four short double-helical elements and three loops (D, anti-codon, and T loops).
Source: RNAcentral